CAAAAUGUAGUUUANCCAAAACCCCUCGCUUACACCGAGAUGUUAUCUAGUAAAUAUAGAUCAUGNGGGA
Molecule: transfer RNA, 70 nt
Filed under: Tachycnemis seychellensis
Lineage: Eukaryota; Metazoa; Chordata; Amphibia; Anura; Hyperoliidae
Description: tRNA-Val
Source: RNAcentral